RNAcentral lists this unclassified non-coding RNA (2028 nucleotides) under Limulus polyphemus (Atlantic horseshoe crab). RNAcentral's name for it is "cTL-like protein 1, transcript variant X4". Lineage: Eukaryota; Metazoa; Arthropoda; Merostomata; Xiphosura; Limulidae. The record is from RNAcentral.
CAUGUUGAGACUCCUCACCAUUACUGAGGAUGAGCGUGGCUGGAAUAAUGAAGUGUGUGGCACACUCUUGAUAUUAGUUGUUGGGUGGCCAUCCAGGUUAGCGGAAACACUGAUUGAGGGGAAUAUUCUAGAAAACGUGAAAACACUAGCCAUGUCUAUCUGUUGUGUACAAGAGAAUAAAAAGUCCCAAGGCUGUACAGAUGUUAUUUUCCUUGUGGUUUUUGUCAUAUUUUGGGUUAUAUUGAUAUUUAUAGCAGCUUUUGCUUUUGUUACUGGUAACCCAUUAAGAUUGAUGUAUGGAUAUGAUAGCUUUGGGAAUAUCUGUGGAGUUGAUAAUAAGCCUGUUGGAAAUUUGUCUUAUUCUGGAUUGGACAUGACAGACAAACCGUAUUUGUUUUACUUCGAUGUGACAGACCUUUCACAUUCACUGAUGAUUUGUGUGAAAAAAUGCCCUGAUAGAAUAUUAUCCAACAUUGUGGACCUUCAGAAGUUUAAACUUGACACAGGAUCAUCACUUCAUCGUUAUGAUAUAGAUGAAUUUGAUACCUGUAGUGAUAUUAAUUUAACAGGAGAAGGUAAAGGUAUAACAAGUAACAGUGGAUUAGGUCCUUGCCCUAAACUUCCAGUAUAUGCUAUGAAACCUUUGUUGCACAGAUGUGUUCCUGAGUCAGUGUUGGGCAUUACACAGAACAUUAUAUAUAGUUUCUAUAGUUACUUAAACAGCUUUGACACUUUUCAACAAGUUGUUGGUGAUCUGUAUGCAAGCUGGAAAGAAAUGCUUGGAAUGCUUAUACUAUCUGUAGUUCUCUCAUUCGUCAUGGUGUUUUUGAUCCAUUUUGUUGCCGCUGUUGUAUCUUGGAUUAUUAUGGCUGUAAUAGCCUUGGCUUCUAUUGCAUUGACGGGCAUAUUGUGGUGGACUUACUUGAGAAUCAAGUGGGGUUUGGACUCAACUCCCUUCUUUGAGCUUUUGGAAGAAGCAGCUAAAAAUGAACGUGCUUUUCUCAUUUAUGCUGUUUUGGUAACCAUCCUGACUGUGUGCUUAUUGUUGAUUCUGAUAAUUUUAAGAAAGCGAGUGGAGCUGAUGGUAGCCUUGUUUCAUGAGGCUGGGAAGUGUGUUCGUGCCAUGCCUUGCCUGUUGCUUCAGCCUAUAUUUACCUUCAUUGUAUUGGGAAUGUUCUUCAUUUUCUGGCUAGGAAUAGUUUUGACAAUGGCUACGGCAGAUUACCCAACAAGAACAACAGUAUUGAGUCCUCUGCUAGAAAACUCAGGAGAACCCUCAAGUGUUUUAGAUCAGAGUGCAGCUACCAUUCAGGUUAGUGCUGAGCAAAUUGCACACGUGGCACAGUUCACAACGAUCAAGUAUAAUGAACCAGCAUGGGUGCAUCAUCAGUGGUGGUACUUGCUUAUUGCACUUGUGUGGACUAGCGAGUUUAUCUUAGGUUGUCAACAGAUGGUCAUUGCUGGUGCUACUUCUUCUUGGUACUUUCAAAGCAGGAAUGAACUACACUGUCCUAUUGGGAAGUCUGUGUUGCAUCUAAUAUCUUACCACUUGGGGUCUGUUGCACUGGGAUCUUUUCUAAUAACAAUUUUUAAAGUGCCCCGCAUUGUUUUGUCUUUCAUGAAAAGAAGUCUGAAGAAAUAUGAAAACAAUGUGAUUGCUUCCUGCUGCUAUAAAUGCUGUAGUUGUUGCCUUUGGUGUCUGGAGAAAUUCAUUAGAUAUUUAAAUCAUAAUGCAUACACUGUUGUAGUCUGCCUAGGUGCUAUUGAGCAAUUAGAGGAACAGGUUUUUGCCAUUCUGCACAAUCUGCUUUUAAUACCUUGGUAACUAAUGCUUUGAGAGUUGCAACUAUCAAUAGUGUUGGGGACUUCAUACUGUUUUUGGGAAAAUGUGCUGUGACUGUGCUUACUGCCUGUGUUGGAAUCUUAGUCAUGAUGCACAACCAAGACCUACAUUUUUUUGCUAUUCCUGUAUUUGCAGCUUGUGUAUUUUCAUUCUUCAUUGCCCAUUCUGUGCUGUCUGUAUAUGAG